UCGAGAAUCUUUCACAAUGGGCGCAAGCCUGAUGACGCAACGCCGCGUGGGGGAUGAAGGUCUUCGGAUCGUAAACCCCUGUCGAAUGGGACGAAAGACUCGCGAGUGAAUACUUCGCGAGAGUGACGGUACCGUUAAAGGAAGCCACGGCUAACUCUGUGCCAGCAGCCGCGGUAAUACAGAGGUGGCAAGCGUUGUUCGGAAUUACUGGGCGUAAAGGGCGCGUAGGCGGCCUACUAAGUCAGACGUGAAAUCCCCCGGCUUAACCUGGGAACUGCGUCUGAUACUGGAAGGCUUGAGUAUGGGANAGGGAUGUAGAAUUCCAGGUGUAGCGGUGAAAUGCGUAGAUAUCUGGAGGAAUACCGGUGGCGAAGGCGGCAUCCUGGACCAUUACUGACGCUGAGGCGCGAAAGCUAGGGGAGCAAACGGGAUUAGAUACCCCUGUAGUCCCUGAGCGGGCUGGCAAGGCGCAU
Molecule: ribosomal RNA, 473 nt
Filed under: uncultured bacterium
Lineage: Bacteria
Description: bacterial SSU rRNA
Rfam family: Bacterial small subunit ribosomal RNA
Source: RNAcentral